GAAGCUGGCCAGACAGUCGCUGUGCGGUUCGCCGCAUAGAGGAAAGUCCGGGCUCCAGAGAGCAAGGAUGCCGGCUAACGGCCGGACGCCGCGAGGCGAUGGAAAGUGCCACAGAAAAGAAGGACUUCAGAGAAGACUAACCCGCGCAAGCAGGUUAUGUCGGAACUAAAGUCCUUUAAGAAGGGCGGGCGACCGCUUUUCUUAUACCGCCGAUGGCUACGCUGACUUUGCAGCCGCGAGGCCGCAAAGUCGCGCUCGCGUAAAGCGGGCAGGGCGAAGAUCAGGCAAGGGUGAAAAGGUGACAGGCGGAUUUUCGCCUGAUGGUGACCGCAAAGCGGGUGCCAUGGUAAGAGCUCACCGCGUUGCUGGUAACAGCGACGGCAGGGCAAACCCCAUCCGGAGCAAGGCCAAAUAGGGAAGCGACAGCGUGGCUCGCGCUGCUUCCGGGUAGGCUGCUAGAGCGCGCCGGUAACGGCGCCCCCAGAGAAAUGACUGUCAUGGGGAUUCGUCCCUAACAGAACCCGGCUUAUCGGCCAGCUUCUCCU
RNAcentral lists this RNase P RNA (545 nucleotides) under Burkholderiales bacterium. RNAcentral describes it as "RNase P RNA component class A". It matches the Rfam family "Bacterial RNase P class A". Rfam says of the family: Ribonuclease P (RNase P) is a ubiquitous endoribonuclease, found in archaea, bacteria and eukarya as well as chloroplasts and mitochondria. Its best characterised activity is the generation of mature 5'-ends of tRNAs by cleaving the 5'-leader elements of precursor-tRNAs. The record is from RNAcentral. RNAcentral also lists the same sequence under 1 other name. Lineage: Bacteria; Pseudomonadati; Pseudomonadota; Betaproteobacteria; Burkholderiales.